AUUGAGAUGACUGAAUCAGGUAAUAAACUGUAAAUUUAUUUAUGGAUAUAUCUUCCUCUCAAUA
RNAcentral lists this transfer RNA (64 nucleotides) under Magicicada cassinii (seventeen-year cicada). RNAcentral describes it as "Magicicada cassini (seventeen-year cicada) tRNA-Tyr". The record is from RNAcentral. RNAcentral also lists the same sequence under 1 other name. Lineage: Eukaryota; Metazoa; Arthropoda; Insecta; Hemiptera; Cicadidae.